Molecule: long non-coding RNA, 922 nt
Filed under: Homo sapiens (human)
Lineage: Eukaryota; Metazoa; Chordata; Mammalia; Primates; Hominidae
Description: HSALNT0330640
Source: RNAcentral
GGAGGGCGGGGCUUUCUCGCGAGAAGGGGGCAUUUUCGCCGCUGAUUGGUGUAAUUCUUUUGAUGGAUGGCCUCCGCGAUCCGUAAACGGCUGGGCCGUGGAGUGAGAAGUCCGGCCAAUCGGCUCACACUUCCCGUUAUCUGGCCUCAAAUUCCCCGGCCCCCUUCCACGCCCCUACCUCUAAGCGUCUCUCAUUGGAGAAUUUAACAAAGUGUCUUCAUUCAGUAGGGGGCCAAACUAAAUACUCGGUGCAGCAACCCUCGCCUGGGUCAGGUCAAUCGGCUGCCAGCCGGAUUGGCCGGCGUAUCAUUCCAGAAUGUACUGUUUGUUCUGUGGGGUUUAGGAGUUCUACAGUGGUUCUGCCCCAUCUUUCUAAAAAUACAAUACAGUGUUUCACUAUGUUACCCAGGCUGGUCUUGAACUCCUGGGCUCAAGUGAUCCUCCCACUUUGGCCUCUCAAAGCACUGGGAUUACAGGGUCUUACUCUGUCGCCCAGGCUGGAGUACAGUGGUGUGAUAUCGGCUCACUGCAACCUCUACCUACCUGGUUCAAGUGAUUCUCCUGCCUCAGCCUCCCGAGUAGCUGGGACUACGGGGUCACCAAGGAAGCCAGAGUGGAGGCUGCAGGGAAUAUGGAUUUAAAUGAAUUUUGGCUGUACCAUCAAGCAGUCUGAUCACUGAGGAAAUAUCAAAAGCUUCACCCGAGUGACUCAUCACCCAAAUUCAACAGAGACUUGCCAAAGAAGCUGCUUAUUUCACAGAAGGAUGGUGCUGGCUGAAAGAUACUUCCUUGAAACUGAGAGAUUGCUUCCUUAGACAGGUCUCCUUGAAGAGGUAUUUGAUUUGCAUUUUAAUUGUUGGAGCUAAAAACCUAGCUCAGAACUUCAGUUAUCUGCAUUGUUUCUGUUUGCAUUCUUGCAGUG